UAUUGGUCUAUCAGAUGUCAGUCAUCUAGAUGGCUUAGUGACGUCAAUAAAAUACAUCGUCAUCAUAUUCAAAUUCAGUUCAAAAUGAGACGCAGACGUUGGACUGGAGAUGUGGAGAAAACACUUCACUAACGUUAAAUAAACUAUUCGUUGUUGACACUUUUAUAACGCCACCAAGAUCGAAAAAACCAUGACCAGGCGGACAUCGGAAUUCCUUUCUAAGUGACAGUGAGGACAAGGCCGUUCCUCCAACUACCGGGCGGAAUUUGGCACAUGGGUGGUUUUAUUUGGGCUCCAAAGUUUUGAGGCAAUUUAAAAUAUAUUUUUUAUUGUUGUACAUAAAAGACUGAAAAAACACCAGGAAAUCAGCUUCAAGUGACUUUUAUUUAAGAAUCUAUUCAUGUAUUCUCAUGAAUAAUAGAGACACCUGAUCGUAUACAACAAAUGUAAGCAAGGUUUGAAUGAUUAUUUUAUUUAAAAAUUAUAUUUGUUUGGGCUUCUUCCAAGUCAAUUUACAGUCUACAAAUUAUUUGUAAUUAUGUUCCGCCCCCCCCAACCAUCCUCUCAAGAAAAACAAUUAGUUGAUCCCUGGGAUAAAGGGAAUGGAAGACGGGCGCCGUCAUCCAUUCCGGGCCACACUCCAUUCACCUGGAUUGUUUUUGUUCUCUUCACCAGGAUAGUGAGACAGGGUGUCUAGGCACCAAAAGAAAAGGACUAGCCGGUGAAAUACUUCAGUUUUCACUGUGCUAUGGUUUUUGGUUCUUUAUCUUCACCAUUUAUUUUUUUCUAUGAGGGGCUAGGCAUGCUCGACAUGGCCUUUCAGGAUGCAAUCAAAGGCACUAGAUCUAAGUAAGAACUUUUAGUCCUUACACAAUGCCAGUUUUUGCCCAAAGACUGCUAAGGUUUUUUGUCAAUUAUGUCCUCCAUUUUUGAUAUUCCAAUCUAUAAGAUGACAACGUACUUGGUUUUGGUGGCUUUUAGUCUUGCGUCAUGCCUACUUUGCAUUUGCCUGUUGUUUUUUGUGAUUUUGACAGCAUCUUUUCCAGGAGCUGUAUUCUCUUAUUAAAGUAACAUCUUUAUGAGAUUAAUUUUGUGAUAUAUUUGUUUCAAUGUGUGUGCAAUUAAUCACUGUGGGUGGAUUAUUAUUAUUAUUAUUAUUAUUAUUAUACCUCUUUCAAUUGGAUGCUGGCCUCCUCCUGCAUGACACCUGUGCUACAUGCUGCUUCCUUUGUCACCUGAGCCUCCUCCUGUAUGCUUGUGAGGAAGCCUCCUGUCACCUGAGCCUCCUCCUGUAUGCUUGUGAGGAAGCCUCCUGUCACCUGAGCCUCCUCCUGUAUGCUCAUGACGAAGCCUCCUGCCACCUCUGUCACCUGACAGACCACCUCCUGCAGACCCCUUGAACUAAAUUCAGCAUCUGCUGCUUCCUCUGCUGGAGCUGGGUCUAGAAGGAAGGAGAGGAGCACUCUUUAAAGUACUCCUCUCCUUCACUCUCUUGUUCUGUCUUUCUCACCUAAAACUCCUACAUCUGCUUCCCUGGCUUCUCCUUCAAAAAAUAGCCAAUUCAAGACUUUAAACCUGUUGAUAUAAAACAAUAACGAUGCAUCUUUAAUCGCUACGAACUUUGUGGUUGUCUUUUUCUACCACGCCGUGCAUCUGUUGCAGAUUUGAGGGGGUGGAUUCAUGCAAUUUAUUCUGGUAGUUACUCCCUCGGAGGACAGUGUCUUCCGUGAACCCUGUUGAAAGACAUUUUUACCAGAAAAGUAUCAUGACUGAAAUGUAUUUUCAUUGACAAAGAUGGUCAAUGAUCAGAAUAAAAUGCUCCUCGCACACAGCGUAACCCCUUCUGCAGACUGAUGUCCCUACGCUUGAUGUUUCUCAGCCACAUCUUCCUCCUGAGUAAUUAGUGUGUAAGGAUUAAUCUCACAUUUUAUUGAAUUCAGCUGGAUGUUGGGCUAUGUCUCCUGUUUUAUAGUUAAUUUAGUAGUAUAGUGGUUGCUAUAACAUCUGUGGUAGUAUAUUGUAGUUUGUAGAUAACCAUAAACGAUUGUCCUCUAUCCCUGUUAUUCACCCUGAUUGUUUUUUAAUAGUACUCUACAGUUAAUUUAAACAGCAGCCAUGUUGUUUUUUAUCUCUGUAUGUGUAAGAGGAGUGUGACGUAGACUCCACAGAAGUCAUAAGAAAAGCAGCCUUUCUUGCUACUCCUGUGACCAGUACCCAAAUGAGGACCUUACAUUCUUAUUGAUCGUGUCCUGCUAUAGUUAGUAGUGUAUAUGGACUCAUCCCUGUAGUCUGCAGACUUCUGGGGUCUACGUCACUCUCCUUCUCUUCAAUCAAAACUGACACUCCUCUCUGUGAGACACCACCUUAACAACCAUUGCCUGGUUAGCAACACCCCAAAUAACGGAGAACAUAGAAUAAAGACCCACACUUUAUCCUGUCCUAUGAGACAUUAGAAUAAAGACCCACACUUUAUCCUGUCCUAUGAAACAUCAGAAUAAAGACCCACACUUUAUCCUGUCCUAUGAAACAUUACAAUAAAGACUCAGACUUUAUCCUGUCCUAUGAAACAUUACAAUAAAGACCCAGACUUUAUCCUGUCCUAUGAAACAUCACAAUAUAGAAAAUCCUAUGAAACAUCACAAUAUAGACCCACACUUUAUCCUGUCCUAUGAAACAUCAGAAUAAAGACCCACACUUUAUCCUGUCCUAUGAAACAUUACAAUAAAGACCCACACUCUAUCCUGUCCUAUGAAACAUUACAAUAAAGACCCACACUUUAUCCUGUCCUAUGAAACAUUACAAUAAAGACCCACACUUUAUCCUGUCCUAUGAAACAUCACAAUAAAGACCCAGACACUUUAUCCUGUCCUAUGAAACAUUACAAUAAAGACCCAGACUUUAUCCUGUCCUAUGAAACAUUGCAAUAAAGACCCACACUUUAUCCUGUCCUAUGAAACAUUACAAUAAAGACCCAGACUCAAUCCUGUCCUAUGAAACAUCAGAAUAAAGACCCACACUUUAUCCUGUCCUAUGAAACAUCACAAUAUAGACCCACACUUUAUCCUAUGAAACAUCACAAUAGAGACCCACACUUUAUCCUGUCCUAUGAAACAUCAGAAUAAAGACCCACACUUUAUCCUAUGAAACAUCACAAUAAAGAUCCACACUUUAUCCUGUCCUAUGAAACAUUGCAAUAAAGACCCACACUUUGUCCUGUCCUAUGAAACAUCAGAAUAAAGACCCACACUUUAUCCUGUCCUAUGAAACAUUGCAAUAAAGACCCACACUUUAUCCUGUCCUAUGAAACAUCAGAAUAAAGACCCACACUUUAUCCUGUCCUAUGAAACAUUACAAUAAAGACCCACACUCUAUCCUGUCCUAUGAAACAUCAGAAUAAAGACCCACACUUUAUCCUGUCCUAUGAAACAUUACAAUAAAGACCCACACGUUAUCCUGUCCUUUGAAACAUUAGAUAAAGACCCACACUUUGUCCUAUGAAACAUUUUCAGUUGCUGCCCUCUUAAACCUGAUUGGUCUUUUGAAGCUCCGCUCUAGUGCUACACAUGGUGUGUGUCUUUCUUUUUUGUUCCAUUUUCCUGUUGAGGAGAUGUGUUACGGAUACAGGUAUCCUGUGUGUAUUUGUUUUCUCUCCUUCUGCCCGAGUCACAGGUGGCAGUCAUCAGUCGCCAAUCUGAAGACACACCUGCUCCUUUUCUCUUACCCAAUCACAUCCCUUUUCCCUUGGUUUAAAAGAAACCCAAUCAGUUGUCUCUGGAGCUAUCUCUCUUUUGUUUUUGCGCCUACAUUUCACUUUGUCCGUUAUCUUGUGUGUAUGUAUUGCUGUGGUGUAUGACUGUUUGUUGGUGGGAAAAGGGGAUACCAAGCCAAGUCGCCCUUGCGCAUACAUUACUCGUAGGAAAACGUUGUCUAAGUACCCUAGUUAGAACUGGGCAGACCACCCACUGUAUUUUAUUGGUUAGUUAGCUAGCUGUUCUUAAAGCAGGCUAGACUAGCUUAGGGGUUUUUGGAUAUUUAUUAUUUCUUUCCUUGGGUCCAGCUCAGACCCUUUUUCCCACACCCCAUUACCGUGUGUUUGAAAUAAACCUAAAGUGUUUGACGUUA
Salmo salar (Atlantic salmon) is the source of this 4122-nucleotide non-coding RNA. The record is from RefSeq and is a predicted model, not a curated record. Lineage: Eukaryota; Metazoa; Chordata; Actinopteri; Salmoniformes; Salmonidae.